UCGAGGGGCAGCGGGGGUAGCAAUACCUGCCGGCGACCGGCAAACGGGUGCGGAACACGUACACAACCUUCCUUUUAGUGGGGGAUAGCCCAGAGAAAUUUGGAUUAAUACCCCGUAAUAUAAUUGAGUGGCAUCACUUGGUUAUUAAAGCUCCGGCGCUAGAAGAUGGGUGUGCGUCUGAUUAGGUAGUUGGUAGGGGUAACGGCCCACCAAGCCAGCGAUCAGUAACUGGUGUGAGAGCACGACCAGUCACACGGGCACUGAGACACGGGCCCGACUCCUACGGGAGGCAGCAGUAAGGAAUAUUGGUCAAUGGACGCAAGUCUGAACCAGCCAUGCCGCGUGGAGGAUGAAGGUCCUCUGGAUUGUAAACUUCUUUUAUCUGGGAAGAAAUGCAUCUUUUCUAAGGUGUUUGACGGUACCAGAUGAAUAAGCACCGGCUAACUCCGUGCCAGCAGCCGCG
Molecule: ribosomal RNA, 463 nt
Filed under: uncultured soil bacterium
Lineage: Bacteria
Description: bacterial SSU rRNA
Rfam family: Bacterial small subunit ribosomal RNA
Source: RNAcentral